RNAcentral lists this unclassified non-coding RNA (302 nucleotides) under uncultured fungus. RNAcentral describes it as "partial contains small subunit ribosomal RNA, internal transcribed spacer 1, and 5.8S ribosomal RNA". The stretch from base 1 to 73 matches the Rfam family "Eukaryotic small subunit ribosomal RNA", at positions 1759 to 1831 of the family's 1831-position model. The record is from RNAcentral. Lineage: Eukaryota; Fungi.
GCAAACUUGGUCAUUUAGAGGAAGUAAAAGUCGUAACAAGGUUUCCGUAGGUGAACCUGCGGAAGGAUCAUUAACGAGUUGAACGGGGUUGUAGCUGGCCUUCACGGGCAUGUGCACACCUCACUCAUCCACUCUACACCUGUGCACUUACUGUGGGUUUCGAGAGGCCGCGCUUGCGUGGUUGAUCGGGCUCACGUCUAUUACAAACUCUUCAGUAUCAGAAUGUGUAUCGCGAUGUAACGCAUCUAUAUACAACUUUCAGCAACGGAUCUCUUGGCUCUCGCAUCGAUGAAGAACGCAGC